Numida meleagris (helmeted guineafowl) is the source of this 1869-nucleotide long non-coding RNA. Lineage: Eukaryota; Metazoa; Chordata; Aves; Galliformes; Numididae. The record is from Ensembl.
GGCCACCGUAGGAAAUCUGCACAGCAGGUAGUUGCCAUCAUUUGAGUGCACUGGAGAAGAGCUGGUGUAAAAGGACCACUGAGGGGGAACUGAGAGCAUGUGCAAGGUAGCACUAGUAGCACAGCCUUAACACGCAGCUGUGUGGUCUUAGAGCCUUACAGUUGGCCCCAGAAGUAGGGUCACCCCACUGCUCUGACCCCACUACACUGAGGAGUAUCUCUUCCCUGUCCCAUCACACAUCCCACCCACCCACCCCUUUUACUCAGAAUUUGCCCACUGAAUCACUGAUGUUACAGUGGUAUGAACAUCUUCAGGGAAUUUCUCCCUUCACCUAAAUGAGAUGUGGGCAUUAACUUUGUAACAUAUAUGCUUUUUUUUUCUCCCUUCUGGAUGAUUAAGAGGCAAAGUACUACACCAAGUGAGGAACAACAAUAGUAAUAAAAAGUAGUGUAAUAUUUUUUAAAGCCCAAUAUCUCCACACUUGCCCCACUGAGAUACACCUUAGUAUGAAGCUUAUGUCACUGGUGGGACUCCAAGAGAAGCAAAGAAGCAAGGACAUUAUAAUUAAUAAUGCUUUGCAGGAAACAAGUUAUUGUGCUUGGGGCAAGAAGGGGGAAGGAAAAUUCUUCUCUAUUAUUUUUUGAAGAGUUAAUUGUUACUAGGCAAAGACUUGCUGCGUUGAGCCAGCAGGCGCUGCUUUAUGACUACAUUAAUGUUAAUGAUAUCCUCCGGACACGUAUGAAAACAGUUUAACCUAUUUCUUUCUCAUUGCAUUUCUCUGAAUGUGUGGUCUUGCUCCAGUUAUUUUUACAGUGUCAACACAGAGCGCUUGGAUGGACCAUGACCCCCCAUUUGCACAGACGUGAGCAGGCACUUGCCCAAAAGCAAAAGAAGGAAAGGGCUGAGCUUUGUGGUAAGUACGUGCCAUCAUUCCUAAUGGAAAGGAGAAUGGGAUGGGAUCUUCAGGGUCCUUCCCGCAACAGAGUGGAUGUUAGCAUCUCUUAUGAAGGAGGGGAACACACUCAACAUUAUUUCUGCCUUUGCAGCCUCGUGAAUGACUGCCAUGUCCUUAGGACAGUCUACCUCAGAAGUCAGUGCAGUUGCUAUGAGAAGUUCUGAUGUGAACAGCUGUGUCUUUUCCAAUUCUGAUGUAUGUCUCCACAUACAUGAAUUCACAUCUGAUGAUAUUCACUAGAUUUGAUCCAAAUAUAUUAGAGUUUGAAGUUGUAAUUUUCAUUAAAGUGACUUGCCAGAAGAACUUUAUCCAACAUCCAGGACAAUACUGCAUAAAAAAAGGUGAAAGUACACUGCUAACUUAGUUCCUAAUCGCUCCAGACCAAGCAGGCUUUACCUGCUGAUAAAUCCCAUGGUGCCCUUGUCUCUGUUAGCUCAGUUUCCUGUCAGCUCUUAAAACUUAAAACUUUCAUCUAAGGUCUGUGCCAGCGCUCCACAGCCUGAGGUAUUUAGAUGUUCAGCCACCUCUCCUGAGAGCCGCAGCACUUGGACAGCACCCUGAGAUUCCCAUCCAACAGAAGGCCAUGCACAAGCACCCAAUGACUAAUACUUUUUCUUUUGGGGAUAUUUUCCAGCUUCUCUUUGCAGGACUCUGGAACUUGAACAGAGGAGAAUGAACCCUGGGGAGUUGCCAUAGGAACCUCUGUUGGUUUUCUUUUUUUUUAAUGUUGUCUGAGAUGAAAUAGAAACAAGGAAAAAAUUACAGAGGAGAAUUGUAGACCUGAGUUUAUUAUCUCUACAGAACAGUGAAGCUGAACAAUAUCUUUAACUUCCUAAAGCAAUAACAGUCACUUUGGGGUUGAUGUCAAGUUGGUAAUUUUCACUGGAAUAAAAAUUAAUUGCUGUAUUUAUUCA